RNAcentral lists this ribosomal RNA (567 nucleotides) under uncultured bacterium. RNAcentral's name for it is "bacterial SSU rRNA". It matches the Rfam family "Bacterial small subunit ribosomal RNA", at positions 33 to 595 of the family's 1533-position model. The record is from RNAcentral.
ACGCUGGCGGCAUGCCUUACACAUGCAAGUCGAACGGCAGCACGGAGCUUGCUCUGGUGGCGAGUGGCGAACGGGUGAGUAACAUAUCGGAACGUACCCUAGAGUGGGGGAUAACGUAGCGAAAGUUACGCUAAUACCGCAUACGAUCUACGGAUGAAAGUGGGGGAUCGCAAGACCUCAUGCUCGUGGAGCGGCCGAUAUCUGAUUAGCUAGUUGGUAGGGUAAAAGCCUACCAAGGCAUCGAUCGGUAGCUGGUCUGAGAGGACGACCAGCCACACUGGAACUGAGACACGGUCCAGACUCCUACGGGAGGCAGCAGUGGGGAAUUUUGGACAAUGGGCGAAAGCCUGAUCCAGCAAUGCCGCGUGAGUGAAGAAGGCCUUCGGGUUGUAAGCUCUUUUGUCAGGGAAGAAACGGUGAGAGCUAAUAUCUCUUGCUAAUGACGGUACCUGAAGAAUAAGCACCGGCUAACUACGUGCCAGCAGCCGCGGUAAUACGUAGGGGUGCAAGCGUUAAUCGGAAUUACUGGGCGUAAAGCGUGCGCAGGCGGUUUUGUAAGUCUGAUGU